CAAGGACUCAAGAUCAUGAGAUUAGCAAAUUUCCAAAAGGGAUCUGUCGCAGUUAAACAAGUCUGCUUCACCACCGCCAGUUUCGGUGCCAUGAUUGCAUUUGGCAAUGGGCUAAAGGCCCUAGGCAUUCAUUCUGCAACAAUUCAGGGAGGUAGACAGUGAGUGGACUCCAAAUGGAGCCAGGGAGCCCCCAGUAAGCAGGAAGAGAGGUGCAUGGAAGACACAAGCUUCUGGGGACUUGAGGGGAGGGACAGACCAGAGUGUGACAAGGAGUCUGCCCCACAACAGCGCCAGCAUCCUGACCUGAGCACGGAGUUAUCCAUGGAAGUCUCACAUGGAUGAGCCACAUCAGUGCUUCUCUGAAUCAAAGGAGUUAUAUUGGAGGAAACUUCUGGAAUGAAGCCUGGCAAUCCCUGGCAUGGUCCUCAGUCAACUCAGAGACCCUGGACUAGGAACAAGGCGCCUCAACCCGGCACAACCUCCCGACAAGCUGGCAACUCCAAAUGAAUGUCAAGUAUUUGCGAAGCAAGAUGGCAAAUGCAAAACAUCAUCCAUGAAGUCUUCAGGAAAGGAACUCAUGGAUCUCCUUUUAAUCGUAAGAAGGUUCCCAGACAUUUCUUCAUGGCUCACCUGUGUAGUCCAAGUCAUAGAUCGAGAAUCUACAGGAUUUAAGUGGCAAAUGUCAGCAUAUUUAUAA
This 697-nucleotide long non-coding RNA is filed under the name Cervus hanglu yarkandensis (Yarkand deer). Its description in RNAcentral is "lncRNA (ENSCHYG00000021406.1)". The record is from RNAcentral. Lineage: Eukaryota; Metazoa; Chordata; Mammalia; Artiodactyla; Cervidae.